AACUUUCAACAAUGGAUCACUUGGCUCUGGCAACGAUGAAGAACGCAGCGAAAUGCGAUAAGUAAUGUGAAUUGCAGAAUUCAGUGAAUCAUCGAAUCUUUGAACGCACAUUGCACCCCCUGGUAUUCCGGGGGGUACGCCUGUUCGAGCGCCAUUACACCCCCCAAGCACGGCUUGAUGUUGGGCGCUGCCCUCGCGGCACGCCCCGAACACGCAGGCGCCCUCGCCCGGCUCUCGAGCGUCUCACGGAUCGUAUCCCCUCGCUCGGGCAGUCGGGUGGCGGUCGCCUCGACCCACCGAUUUUAUCACGUUUGGCCUCGGAUCAGGCGGGGCUACCCGCUGAAUUUAAGCAUAUCAAUAAGCGGAGGCU
RNAcentral lists this unclassified non-coding RNA (370 nucleotides) under uncultured Fusicladium. Its description in RNAcentral is "sequence contains ITS2". The stretch from base 1 to 154 matches the Rfam family "5.8S ribosomal RNA". Lineage: Eukaryota; Fungi; Ascomycota; Dothideomycetes; Venturiales; Sympoventuriaceae. The record is from RNAcentral.